UUGAGUCUCAACUGAUCCUCGGUGAGUUCCAAUAGUGGGAAGGUCUGCACUUGAGUGCAGAAGUCACGGAUGAACUGUAAAGCAUCCUCACUCGGCAUCCCAUAAAAGAGCGGCAGCAGGUUUGAAUCGUUGGGCUUCAGAUUGUAAUUUCGGACCGCCGUGGGAAGCACUAUAGCUGACGUGCUAGUGCUCCCAAUAACUGGCCUGGAAAAAUCUCCCAUGUACUGAACAUUCUGCUCCGCCAUUGCUUCUUCUUCUUUUUCAGAAUGCACUGAAAGUGUCUCCUCAAAAGCUUCCAGAAUGGGAUUGGAAGCAAUUCUCUCUUCACAAUUUUUUUCUCGAAACUGUGAUUCCACAAAACUUCUCGAACUGGACUCGGACUCCUUCUCCAGGCUUGAAAGAACCUCCCGAGGUCGAUGAAUGUUGUCGUAGUAAGGUGCAAGCUUUCUCUUCAAGCUUCU
This 461-nucleotide long non-coding RNA is filed under the name Salvia miltiorrhiza (redroot sage). Its description in RNAcentral is "long non-coding RNA (SMIL_LNC010952)". Lineage: Eukaryota; Viridiplantae; Streptophyta; Magnoliopsida; Lamiales; Lamiaceae. The record is from RNAcentral.